RNAcentral lists this small nucleolar RNA (103 nucleotides) under Vicugna pacos (alpaca). RNAcentral describes it as "Small nucleolar RNA U3 (ENSVPAG00000017494.1)". The stretch from base 1 to 71 matches the Rfam family "Small nucleolar RNA U3". From Rfam's summary of the family: Small nucleolar RNAs (snoRNAs) are involved in the processing and modification of rRNA in the nucleolus. The record is from RNAcentral. Lineage: Eukaryota; Metazoa; Chordata; Mammalia; Artiodactyla; Camelidae.
AAGACUAUACUUUCAGGAAUCACUUCUACAGUUUGUUACUAGAGAAGUUUCUGGAUAAAGAAGAUGUGUUGUGUGUAUAUAUACAACGGAAUACUACUCAGCC